UUAAGUCCCGCAACGAGCGCAACCCUUGUCGUAUGUUGCCAGCACGUUAUGUGGGAACUCAUACGAGACUGCCGGUGUCAAAACCGGAGGAAGGUGGGGAUGACGUCAAGUCAUCAUGCCCCUUAUGCCCUGGGCUGCACACGUGCUACAAUGGCCGGUACAAUGGGCUGCGAAACCGCGAGGUAGAGCGAAUCCCACAAAGCCGGUCCAAGUUCGGAUUGAAGGCUGAAACUCGCCUACAUGAAGUCGGAAUCGCUAGUAAUCGCGGAUCAGCACGCCGCGGUGAAUACGUUCCCGGGCCUU
This 303-nucleotide ribosomal RNA is filed under the name uncultured Coriobacteriaceae bacterium. Its description in RNAcentral is "bacterial SSU rRNA". It matches the Rfam family "Bacterial small subunit ribosomal RNA", at positions 1080 to 1382 of the family's 1533-position model. Lineage: Bacteria; Bacillati; Actinomycetota; Coriobacteriia; Coriobacteriales; Coriobacteriaceae. The record is from RNAcentral.